Molecule: ribosomal RNA, 497 nt
Filed under: uncultured bacterium
Lineage: Bacteria
Description: partial 16S ribosomal RNA
Rfam family: Bacterial small subunit ribosomal RNA
Source: RNAcentral
GAUGAACGCUGGCGGCGUGCCUAAUACAUGCAAGUCGAGCGAACAGACGAGGAGCUUGCUCCUCUGACGUUAGCGGCGGACGGGUGAGUAACACGUGGAUAACCUACCUAUAAGACUGGGAUAACUUCGGGAAACCGGAGCUAAUACCGGAUAAUAUAUUGAACCGCAUGGUUCAAUAGUGAAAGACGGUUUUGCUGUCACUUAUAGAUGGAUCCGCGCCGCAUUAGCUAGUUGGUAAGGUAACGGCUUACCAAGGCAACGAUGCGUAGCCGACCUGAGAGGGUGAUCGGCCACACUGGAACUGAGACACGGUCCAGACUCCUACGGGAGGCAGCAGUAGGGAAUCUUCCGCAAUGGGCGAAAGCCUGACGGAGCAACGCCGCGUGAGUGAUGAAGGUCUUCGGAUCGUAAAACUCUGUUAUUAGGGAAGAACAAAUGUGUAAGUAACUAUGCACGUCUUGACGGUACCUAAUCAGAAAGCCACGACUAACUACGUG